AAACCAAAAAAGUUAUAACAACAAAACUAAUCGCCUGAGAACUACUAGCCAAAGCUUAAAACUCAAAGGACUUGGCGGUGCCUUACACCCACUAGAGGAGCCUGUUCUAUAAUCGAUAACCCCCGAUAAACCUCACCAGCUCUGUAAUUCAGUCUAUAUACCGCCGUCUUCAGCAAACCCUAAAAAGGAACCACAGUAAGCACAAAUACAUAACAUAAAAACGUCAGGUCAAKGUGUAACCUAUGAGCUGGAAAGAAAUGGGCUACAUUUCCUGUUAAAGGUUAUCCACACCUAACUUAC
This 300-nucleotide ribosomal RNA is filed under the name Emballonura semicaudata (Polynesian sheath-tailed bat). RNAcentral's name for it is "partial 12S ribosomal RNA". The stretch from base 36 to 300 matches the Rfam family "Bacterial small subunit ribosomal RNA", at positions 874 to 1272 of the family's 1533-position model. The record is from RNAcentral. Lineage: Eukaryota; Metazoa; Chordata; Mammalia; Chiroptera; Emballonuridae.